RNAcentral lists this long non-coding RNA (512 nucleotides) under Ricinus communis (castor bean). Its description in RNAcentral is "long non-coding RNA (RCOM_LNC002817)". The record is from RNAcentral. Lineage: Eukaryota; Viridiplantae; Streptophyta; Magnoliopsida; Malpighiales; Euphorbiaceae.
GUGAGUCAAAAUCAAAUAAUCUAAGGACUAUUGCAACCUUCACAUGAUAUAUUAAUUAUUCAGAACAAUAUACCAAUUUCUGAAUAUAAUUGCAAUCAUAAUAUAUAAUCAUACACCAUAAUAAUAAAAUGAUAAAAGAAGAGUGUAAAUAAAUAAAGACAUUUUUACUUUCACGGGGCGUGUGGCUAAGUAGAACCCUAACCCCAAAUUCUAACAGCCAUUUUGGCUCUCUUAAUCCAAAUAAGACUGGCGCCCUGAGAGCAAUGCUCGACCAGGGACCUUACCUCCAGUCUGGUCACUUAAGUAUCCAAAUAAGAAAUCUAGUAGCCAUUCGGCUCUCUUAGUCCAAUAAGACUGGCGCCCCGAGAGCAAUGCUCGACCAGGGACCUUACCUCCAGUCUAGUCACUUAAGUAUCCAAAUAAGAAAUCUAGUAGCCAUUCGGCUCUCUUAAUCCAAUAAGACUGGCGCCCCGAGAGCAAUGCUCGACCAGGGACCUUACCUCCAGUCUGGU